UUCUAUUUUCAAUUGAUUCUUCUUAAAACAAAAUGCCAUGUGUCUAUUCAAAGUUGAAGUUCCAAAUUCGAAUCUUGCUUUUAAAAUUGUACUACAAUGCAUGCACUUUGCCUUUUGUUCUCCAUUUACCAUUAUUUUUAUAACGUGCUCCCAAGCUUCGGAGACUUUCUUCUUUUUUCCGGUUUCUUCCUUACUCUUCUUAUCAUUCACGGUUGACACUGAAAUUUC
RNAcentral lists this long non-coding RNA (228 nucleotides) under Citrus maxima (pomelo). Its description in RNAcentral is "long non-coding RNA (CMAX_LNC000677)". The record is from RNAcentral. Lineage: Eukaryota; Viridiplantae; Streptophyta; Magnoliopsida; Sapindales; Rutaceae.